UACGUAGGGGGCUAGCGUUGUCCGGAAUCAUUGGGCGUAAAGUGCGUGUAGGCGGUCCGGUAAGUCCGCUGUGAAAGUCGGGGGCUCAACCCUCGAAUGCCGGUGGAUACUGUCGGGCUAGAGUGCGGAAGAGGCGAGUGGAAUUCCUGGUGUAGCGGUGAAAUGCGCAGAUAUCAGGAGGAACACCAAUUGCGAAGGCAGCUCGCUGGGACGUUACUGACGCUGAGACGCGAAAGCGUGGGGAGCAAACAGG
RNAcentral lists this ribosomal RNA (253 nucleotides) under uncultured bacterium. Its description in RNAcentral is "partial 16S ribosomal RNA". It matches the Rfam family "Bacterial small subunit ribosomal RNA", at positions 524 to 776 of the family's 1533-position model. The record is from RNAcentral.